CAACAUUAAAUAAUUAGUUCUUAGACUGGUGUUUUUUCUUCCAGUGUGAAUCUGGCAACAUUGGCUCUGGGUUAUGUCUCCUCAUCAGUGCUGGCUGCAACCAAAUGUGAUAGCAUGAUGAUGACUCCUGGUCCGUGGCUGGGUUUGCCAGCUGUUCCUGCGGUGACACUGUAUAAACAUGAUGACCCUGCCUUGACUUCAGUUGCUGGUCUUACAUCAAAUAAGCCCGCAGACAAACUCCGUGC
Nomascus leucogenys (northern white-cheeked gibbon) is the source of this 245-nucleotide long non-coding RNA. RefSeq lists it as uncharacterized. The record is from RefSeq and is a predicted model, not a curated record. The transcript is spliced from 3 exons. NCBI's taxonomy places the organism in Eukaryota, Metazoa, Chordata, Mammalia, Primates, Hylobatidae.